GGGGAAUAUUGGACAAUGGGCGCAAGCCUGAUCCAGCAAUGCCGCGUGUGUGAAGAAGGCCCUCGGGUUGUAAAGCACUUUUAUCAGGAGCGAAAUCUGCAAGGUUAAUACCUUUGCAGUCUGACGGUACCUGAGGAAUAAGCACCGGCUAACUCCGUGCCAGCAGCCGCGGUAAUACGGAGGGUGCAAGCGUUAAUCGGAAUUACUGGGCGUAAAGCGUGCGUAGGCAGUUCGUUAAGUCUGUUGUGAAAGCCCCGGGCUCAACCUGGGAAUGGCAAUGGAUACUGGCGAGCUAGAGUGUGUCAGAGGAUGGUGGAAUUCCCGGUGUAGCGGUGAAAUGCGUAGAGAUCGGGAGGAACAUCAGUGGCGAAGGCGGCCAUCUGGGACAACACUGACGCUGAGGCACGAAAGCGUGGGGAGCAAAC
RNAcentral lists this ribosomal RNA (425 nucleotides) under uncultured bacterium. RNAcentral describes it as "bacterial SSU rRNA". It matches the Rfam family "Bacterial small subunit ribosomal RNA", at positions 356 to 773 of the family's 1533-position model. The record is from RNAcentral.